Molecule: microRNA precursor, 95 nt
Filed under: Tetraodon nigroviridis (spotted green pufferfish)
Lineage: Eukaryota; Metazoa; Chordata; Actinopteri; Tetraodontiformes; Tetraodontidae
Description: microRNA tni-mir-219 precursor (tni-mir-219-1)
Gene: tni-mir-219-1
Rfam family: mir-219 microRNA precursor family (bases 9-88)
About the family: The hairpin precursors (represented here) are predicted based on base pairing and cross-species conservation -- their extents are not known. In this case the mature sequence is excised from the 5' arm of the hairpin.
Source: miRBase by way of RNAcentral
UCUGAGCACUAGCAGCUGAUUGUCCAAACGCAAUUCUUGUGAAAAUCCAAAGCCUACCCGAGAAUUGUGCCUGGACAUCUGUUGCUGGACGCUCC